CCUACGGGUGGCAGCAGUGGGGAAUAUUGCACAAUGGGGGAAACCCUGAUGCAGCGACGCCGCGUGAGUGAAGAAGGAUUUCGGUACGUAAAGCUCUAUCAGCAGGGAAGAAAAUGACGGUACCUGACUAAGAAGCCCCGGCGAACUACGUGCCAGCAGCCGCGGUAAUACGUAGGGGGCAAGCGUUAUCCGGAUUUACUGGGAGUAAAGGGAGCGUAGACGGCAGCGCAAGUCUGAAGUGAAAUCCCAUGGCUUAACCAUGGAACUGCUUUGGAAACUGUGCAGCUGGAGUGCAGGAGAGGUAAGCGGCCUUCCUAGUGUAGCGGUGAACUGCGUAGAUUUUAGGCGGCACCCCAGUGGCGCAGGCGGCUUACUGGACUGUACCUGCCGUUGAGGCUCG
Molecule: ribosomal RNA, 400 nt
Filed under: uncultured bacterium
Lineage: Bacteria
Description: partial 16S ribosomal RNA
Rfam family: Bacterial small subunit ribosomal RNA
Source: RNAcentral